GGAAGUGUGGCUCAGCAGUAUAGCACCUGCCUAGUAAACAUGAGGUUCUUAGUUCAAAUCUCAGUACCCCUA
This 72-nucleotide transfer RNA is filed under the name Dipodomys ordii (Ord's kangaroo rat). It matches the Rfam family "tRNA". Rfam says of the family: Transfer RNA (tRNA) molecules are approximately 80 nucleotides in length. Their secondary structure includes four short double-helical elements and three loops (D, anti-codon, and T loops). The record is from Rfam by way of RNAcentral. Lineage: Eukaryota; Metazoa; Chordata; Mammalia; Rodentia; Heteromyidae.